Non-coding RNA from Pelobates cultripes (western spadefoot toad), 2072 nucleotides. The record is from the annotation of a GenBank genome assembly. Lineage: Eukaryota; Metazoa; Chordata; Amphibia; Anura; Pelobatidae.
AUUCCAUGUAACAUCAUAGAAAGUGGAACUGUAACUUUCUCUUAUAAGUAACAAUGUAUUAGCAUACACUAACACUCACUCUCAUCUUGCAGUUCUUACUCCUACUCUACCUCCUCACAUAUGUCGGAGCUGUGUUCAAUGGACUUACUCUUCUACUCCUGGGUAAGUAGCCAUGGUCCAAGGGAAAAUUAUACUGAGGCUUAAAGAGCCUGAUUGGAUUUGUUUUGUUUUUAGCUAAUUUAUGUAUUAUUAUGAAGACCGUUCAACCAGAGUAAGAAUUCUCCAUAGGAAACCAUAACUCCAUUUGAUAUUCACAAAUGGCGUUGUGGUUUCAACGGACUUAAGGCGGCAAGUCACCCCUCGCAAAAAGAGUAUUUCAUAAAAAAAUAGGAUUUUUAUAAACUACUUAUAUGGACUGUGUUGGAAUGUCUGUGAAAUUAAUUCUACCCAUGGAAGAUCUUGUGGGCUAUACUCUUAUAUAUAUAUAUAUAAAAGUACAGCAGUGACGUCAACUUUUGGGAGAUGAAGCACCAGGAGAAGAAGAGGACAGGCAAGAAGAGGAUGGAGGGGGGCCCAGGUAAGUAAAACUCAUCUUUCCCUGGUCACCGGACCCCAAGUAGAGAUGUCACUAUCUGGGGUCAUUGCAAAUUGCAAAGUCUCCUGAUGAUGAUAGAUUUGCUUUUUAAAAACAAAAAAAAAGUUUAUUGGUAGCAAUGCUGUCCUAUGGUCUUAUUAGGAGAGUGCUGCUAGUAAAAUGAACCCUUUCAGUGUUUGACAAGAAAAAGCAGCAUGGUACAUACUAAGGAUAUAAUAAGGAAGACUCAAUCCAAAUAGAAUCUCAUAGACCUUAGUAAGUAUUUGUUUACUUUUUUUAAACUUUUUCAUAGUGUCACAUGACGUGUGCGGCUAUAAGCUUAUGGCUGCUGUUUUCUUAGUGUUGUGCUGUCAUAGAUCCACUGACUGAGCUGAGUUACACUUGGAAAGUAACCUACAAUGUGAGAUAGUAAAUACUGCAGAUCUUUAACCUGACUUCCAAGUGUAACUGAAUUAAGCAACAGCGGGAUUCUUGCAGGAGCUUGCAGUUCCAAGGGACCAUGUGACUUGUACACUGAGGACCCCAAGUAAGUUAACAAACUGUUCUCAGUUUGACUACUUACGAUGGUAGGGUGCUCUACGGCAGGCUGUAUUCCUUAUGGUACUUGGAGUGUUCUAUAUGAACCAAUGACAUUUCUAUCAUUACAUGAGGAUUCCUAAUGAUUCGUAAUGGUAUAGGUUUUCCAGUUUUAAUAUAGAUUUGCAGACCAUGUUUCUCUAGAUACUUCUAUACUGCUUCUUCCACCCUGUUUCCCCGAAAAUAAGACAUCCCCCAAAAAUAAGCCCUAGCUUUUUUGGGGGGGAUGUUCGUAAUAUAAGCCUUACCACGAAAAUAAGCCCUUGAAGCUAGUUCGUAAAUCUAUGUUCGGGGAAUUUUCCUGAACAUAGAUUCGCAGGAUUCCAUUUGAGAGUAAGUUAAUUCGGGGAAGUUUCCCCGAACAUAGAUUUGCGGGAUUCCAUGCCCUAGUGAACUGGUCUAUGUUCAGGGAAUUCCCCCGAAUGUUGACCUACUUUCUAGCAUAUGCUUGCUACCAUUUUUUUCCAAAAUAAGACAUCCCCCGAAAAUAAACCCUUUUGCGGUUUUUGGGGGGAAAACCAAUAUAAGACCCGGUCUUAUUUUCGGCGAAAGACGGUAUCAUCACUAAGGCGGCUGGGGUUAACAGGAGUUAUAGUGGAAUAGUUGAAUAUGUCUUAUAAAGUAACAGAAUGAGCACUGAUGCAUGUUGCAGGGACACCUAGAUUUACUUUUUAAAAUAAUUUCUCCCUGAAAUACAAUUCUGACAAGUCAUAGACGGACUAUAACAUAGCAAAACUGAAAUUCUCAUUAAAAGAAAAGGAUGAUCCCUAAUUGUAAUUUUAUUCUCCCUUUCAGUUGUCAUCGGAGCAUUCACUUUUCCAAUCUUGUACAGACAGAACAAGGUGAGUUCAUACAUAGUCUCAUUCUCGCACCCAAACUGUGACCUUAGCAUGGCACACAG